GUGGGGAAUAUUGGGCAAUGGGCGCAAGCCUGACCCAGCAACGCCGCGUGAAGGAAGAAGGCUUUCGGGUUGUAAACUUCUUUUACCAGGGACGAAAAAAAUGACGGUACCUGGAGAAUAAGCCACGGCUAACUACGUGCCAGCAGCCGCGGUAAUACGUAGGUGGCAAGCGUUGUCCGGAUUUACUGGGUGUAAAGGGCGCGUAGGCGGGAGAGCAAGUCAGGAGUGAAAUCUAUGGGCUUAACCCAUAAAUUGCUUUUGAAACUGUUUUUCUUGAGUGAUGGAGAGGCAAGCGGAAUUCCUAGUGUAGCGGUUAAAUGCGUAGAUAUUAGGAGGAACACCAGUGGCGAAGGCGGCUUGCUGGACAUUAACUGACGCUGAUGCGCGAAAGCGUGGGGAGCAAACAGGAUUAGAUACCCUUGUAGUCC
RNAcentral lists this ribosomal RNA (428 nucleotides) under uncultured bacterium. RNAcentral's name for it is "partial 16S ribosomal RNA". It matches the Rfam family "Bacterial small subunit ribosomal RNA", at positions 354 to 796 of the family's 1533-position model. The record is from RNAcentral.